Long non-coding RNA from Cygnus olor (mute swan), 1019 nucleotides. RefSeq lists it as uncharacterized. The transcript has 3 exons. NCBI's taxonomy places the organism in Eukaryota, Metazoa, Chordata, Aves, Anseriformes, Anatidae. The record is from RefSeq and is a predicted model, not a curated record.
CAAGACACUGGCUAAAGCACACAGAGUAGUGAGUAUUCACUUUUUUCUACAACUUUUCAGUGACUAGGAAACAGAUAAUACACCAGCUGACUGGUCUGCUUGGCAGGUACCGAACCUGGUGUCUACUUUAUGUCUGUCUCCUGAAGACUCUGCAAAAAUCCUCCCUGAUGCAGCAACAGACACGUAGGCUUCCUCUGUUCAGGCUCCUUAUUCAGGCUUCCUGGAGGCUCACCUCAAACUUUCCUCUUCAAAGAGCUUGACAUUCGUCUUAAACUUCCAAAACAUUUUUUCCUGAACGAAUGCAGCAGUUUGUGUAAGCCCAUCUGGAAGCCAGCUUCACAGACCAUUUCCAGGGCAGCAAGCAGUACGGGUUUCCUGAGACCAAACAAACCAGUGCCAGCCUAACACAGGGAGACCUGGCUCCAUUAAGGGCUAUCUUAUCAGUGUGCUGUCUGACCUUUUCUUACCCACACUGUAACUGCACCUCUCACAUGCAUGUCAGCGUGAGGAGUAACGUCCUUGAAGACUGCUCUAAAGAAAAGCACAUGUUGCAACAGCAGACAGAAGACUGACUCAUUUUUAUUCCCCACAAACCAAAACUGUAUCAUCCAGCAUACUCUCAGCAUGUGCACUCAAACUUAAUCCAGUGUAAUUUACAGCCUGCCAGCCACCAGCUCACUGCCUUUCCCAUCCCAAGAGUGUGCUGAGCUUCCUCUGCUGCCACAAACCUGGGUGCGACAGCUGUGGGACCACCUCCAGACACCGCCGUCUGUCGAGGCAUCAGACGUGCUUCCUGCAGCCCAGACUGUGUCUCCAUGCUGAGCCAGCUCUUUGAUAAGAACUUUGCAGAUAGUUCAGUAUAACUUUGCUUUUUGCUGAAAGGAAAGGAUUUUCUGGUUUUGGAAAACAAACCCAUUACUUGGUGGAGAUCACCAGUACUCCAGCCCUCUUCUCAUAAGUUUCUCCAAGGAAAAUCUUUUAAAAGGGACCUUUUAGUCUCUCCUGCAGAUUACUCUCUU